UACAGAGGGUGCAAGCGUUAAUCGGAAUUACUGGGUGUAAAGCGCACGUAGGCGGUUUUUUAAGUCAGAUGUGAAAGCCCCGGGCUCAACCUGGGAAUUGCAUUUGAAACUGGGAAACUAGAGUGUGUGAGAGGGGGGUAGAAUUCCAAGUGUAGCGGUGAAAUGCGUAGAGAUUUGGAGGAAUACCAGUGGCGAAGGCGGCCCCCUGGCACAACACUGACGCUCAGGUGCGAAAGCGUGGGGAGCAAACAGG
This 253-nucleotide ribosomal RNA is filed under the name uncultured bacterium. Its description in RNAcentral is "partial 16S ribosomal RNA". It matches the Rfam family "Bacterial small subunit ribosomal RNA", at positions 524 to 776 of the family's 1533-position model. The record is from RNAcentral.